This is a non-coding RNA of Halocaridina rubra (Hawaiian volcano shrimp), 73 nucleotides long. NCBI's taxonomy places the organism in Eukaryota, Metazoa, Arthropoda, Malacostraca, Decapoda, Atyidae. The record is from the annotation of a GenBank genome assembly.
GUCUUUGUUGCUCUGUGGGCUAAGCUUUGGAGUUCUAUUCUAGAGUUCCCAGGUUCAAUUCCUGACAAGGAAG